This 500-nucleotide ribosomal RNA is filed under the name uncultured bacterium. Its description in RNAcentral is "partial 16S ribosomal RNA". It matches the Rfam family "Bacterial small subunit ribosomal RNA", at positions 28 to 507 of the family's 1533-position model. The record is from RNAcentral.
GACGAACGCUGGCGGCGUGCUUAACACAUGCAAGUCGAACGGGUCUGCCCUGUUUUUUGCGGGGUGGGUCAGUGGCGAACGGGUGAGUAACACGUGAGUAACCUGCCCCUCACUUCUGGAUAACCGCUUGAAAGGGUGGCUAAUACGGGGUGUUCUGGCUGUGCCGCAUGGUGUGGCUGGGAAAGAUUCACUUUUGUGGUGUUUUGGUGGGGGAUGGGCUCGCGGCCUAUCAGCUUGUUGGUGGGGUGAUGGCCUGCCAAGGCUUUGACGGGUAGCCGGCCUGGGAGGGUGGGCGGUCACACUGGGACUGAGAUACGGCCCAGACUCCUGCGGGAGGCAGCAGGGGGGGGUAUUGCACAAUGGGCGGAAGCCUGAUGCAGCGACGUCGCGGGAGGGAUGGAGGCCUUCGGGUUGUGAACCUCUUUCGCCGGUGAAGAAGGUCCUGCUCUUUGUGGUGGGGUUGACGGUAGCCGGGUUAUGAAGCGCCGGCUAACUACGUG